UUAAGCAUAUCAAUAAGCGGAGGAAAAGAAACCAACAGGGAUUGCCUCAGUAACGGCGAGUGAAGCGGCAAAAGCUCAAAUUUGAAAUCCUGGCUCCUUUGGGGUCAUGAGUUGUAAUUUGAAGGUUGAGUUGUUUGGUGUCACACAUUUCUAAGUCCAUUGGAACAUGGCGCCUUGGAGGGUGAGAGCCCCGUGAGAGAUGUUGUGGUAUCAUUAUACUUCUCUUCCGAAGAGUCGAGUUGUUUGGGAAUGCAGCUCUAAGUGGGUGGUAAAUUCCAUCUAAAGCUAAAUAUUGGCGAGAGACCGAUAGCGAACAAGUACAGUGAUGGAAAGAUGAAAAGCACUUUGAAAAGAGAGUGAAAAAGUACGUGAAAUUGUUGGAAGGGAAGGGCUUGCAAGCAGACACGAUCCUCUCGGGGAUUGGGCCAGCAUCGGUUGGCAAGGGGUGGAAAAGGCAGUUGGGAAUGUGGCUCUGCGCUUUUAGUGCGGAGUGUUAUAGACCUUCUGAGAUACACCCACUUCCGACCGAGGCCUGCGAUUAUUCUAGGAUGCUGGCGUAAUGGUUGCAAGUCGCCCGUCUUGAAACACGGACCAAGGAGUCUAACGUCUAUGCGAGUGUUUGGGUGGAUAAAACCCACGACGCGGAAUGAAAGUAAGAGGUUGGAGCCCUUUUGGGUGCACAAUCGACCGACCCUGAAGUGCUCGGACGGGUUUGAGUAGGAGCAUAGCUGUUGGGACCCGAAAGAUGGUGAACUAUACCUGGAUAGGGUGAAGCCAGAGGAAACUCUGGUGGAGGCUCGCAGCGGUUCUGACGUGCAAAUCGAUCGUCGAAUCUGGGUAUAGG
Molecule: ribosomal RNA, 844 nt
Filed under: [Candida] wancherniae
Lineage: Eukaryota; Fungi; Ascomycota; Pichiomycetes; Serinales; Metschnikowiaceae
Description: LSU rRNA
Rfam family: Eukaryotic large subunit ribosomal RNA
Source: RNAcentral